ACUCCUACGGGAGGCAGCAUUGGGGAAUAUUGGACAAUGGGCGCAAGCCUGAUCCAGCCAUGCCGCGUGAGUGAUGAAGGCCCUAGGGUUGUAAAGCUCUUUCACCGGUGAAGAUAAUGACGGUAACCGGAGAAGAAGCCCCGACUAACUUCGUGCCAGCAGCCGCGGUAAUACGAAGGGGGCUAGCGUUGUUCGGAUUUACUGGGCGUAAAGCGCACGUAGGCGGACUAUUAAGUCAGGGGUGAAAUCCCGGGGCUCAACCCCGGAACUGCCUUUGAUACUGGUAGUCUUGAGUUCGAGAGAGGUGAGUGGAAUUCCGAGUGUAGAGGUGAAAUUCGUAGAUAUUCGGAGGAACACCAGUGGCGAAGGCGGCUCACUGGCUCGAUACUGACGCUGAGGUGCGAAAGCGUGGGGAGCAAACAGGAUUAGAAACCCUGGUAGUCCCAUGA
This 449-nucleotide ribosomal RNA is filed under the name uncultured organism. RNAcentral describes it as "partial 16S ribosomal RNA". It matches the Rfam family "Bacterial small subunit ribosomal RNA", at positions 335 to 800 of the family's 1533-position model. The record is from RNAcentral.